AACGAACGCUGGCGGCAGGCUUAACACAUGCAAGUCGAACGGUCGUAGCAAUACGAUAGUGGCGCACGGGUGAGUAACGCGUGGGAAUAUACCCCUUCGUCGGGAAUAACAGCGGGAAACUGCUGCUAAUACCCGAUAUUCUCUUCGGAGGAAAGAUUUAUCGCUAGGGGAUUAGCCCGCGGCAGAUUAGCUAGUUGGUGAGGUAACGGAUCACCAAGGCAACGAUCUGUAGCCGGUCUGAGAGGAUGACCGGCCACACUGGAACUGAGACACGGUCCAGACUCCUACGGGAGGCAGCAGUGGGGAAUAUUGGACAAUGGGCGAAAGCCUGAUCCAGCCAUGCCGCGUGAAUGAUGAAGGCCUUAGGGUUGUAAAGUUCUUUUGUCAGGGAAGAUAAUGACGGUACCUGAAGAAUAAGCACCGGCUAACUUCGUGCCAGCAGCCGCCGUAA
This 451-nucleotide ribosomal RNA is filed under the name uncultured bacterium. RNAcentral's name for it is "partial 16S ribosomal RNA". It matches the Rfam family "Bacterial small subunit ribosomal RNA", at positions 29 to 523 of the family's 1533-position model. The record is from RNAcentral.